Long non-coding RNA from Mus musculus (house mouse), 8122 nucleotides. RefSeq annotates it as predicted gene, 35636. The transcript is spliced from 8 exons. Lineage: Eukaryota; Metazoa; Chordata; Mammalia; Rodentia; Muridae. The record is from RefSeq and is a predicted model, not a curated record.
CAGAGAGAUGCUGGGGCCAGCAGAUAUGGAGAAGCUGCCCCAGGAAGAUAAGGGCACUGGGGCUGUUCUUGGACCAGUGGCUUUGUUGUCCAAUCCAGGAAUAUAGGAAGAGGAGAGCUGCAUGGCUUCAGGAGAAUCUCCACCUUAGAUCUGUUUGCUCUUCCGGACAAUGAAAGAAAUGAUCGUGUCUCUCAUGCAAGACUGUUGAAAACUGGUGACUCUCUCUGAAGUACAGCUUUAAUAUCUGCAGAGUAACUUUCCUCUUUGUGCGACUGAGGAUUGGAAUCGGUGCUCAUUAGAGGCAUGUCUUUGCUCUCUCCUCGAUUCCCUCCCAAUCCCUUCUGUUUUGGCCCAUGGAAUGCAAGAGCCACAGAAAACACACCUACCUAACUAGGAGGAUUCCUGAACCUCAUGUUUCUGGACGGUGGUGGCACAUGCCACAUUCCCUACUUCAAUGUAUCUUCAGUGGAGUGGAGACUACUACACAGCAAAGGCUGGCCCAAGGCAGAGUGGUGCAGAAUUCAGAGGAACAGUUUAAGCAUCUGGCUUCUUCCUGGAACAGAGAAGACCCUGCCCUCCCCACCCAGUGCCAGGAUUGUAUCUUAUGUAUUUUGACUCUCCUAUAAUGCCUUGUGGUGAGCACGUGGUCCUCACAAUGCUUGAUGAGUAGAUAAAAGGUGAAUUGCUUGUUAAAGUCCCUGAGAAGGACUUGGGGACAGUGAAGAAAAUGUGAAAGAGGAGGGAGAAAAAAAACAGGAAAGGGGUAGGAGCUGAGAAGGGACCUUUCCAUUUUUAUUGCAAAGAGGAUCUGGGGAGACAGAAUAAGGGGAGAGCUUGGAAAGAGGGGGAAUAAGGGUAGCAGGGGUCAGGCUGGGGACAAAGGGCUCUGGGUGGCCUGGCUGAUGUGACUUCCCUGAACUCUGGGUGGCUGAGUGGGUGAGGAAUGGAGCUGUCAGCACCUGGGAAGCCUCGGGACUCCCAGGUAGAGUGAGUUUGUAGAGUGGGAGAGCAUGUCUUACAGGGUGGUUGCCUGGCCAAGGCUAUGGCAUGUAUCCAGCGAGUCAGAAGCUGAGCAGUGAAUAUCUCUUCUAGAGUUGCGAAGUACCCACCUCUCAUGUUUGCCAGGCUUUUGCAAGUUAUGCAUUCUAACUGUAAAGUUGCCAACUGGAGGCAUCCCACCACCAGCAGUCACUAUUGCUCCCUUUGAUGGACUAGGAAUUCAGGGUGCCAUUGAGAGAGGGGCGUGAUAUAUACUCCUCCAUUGGCUAAGAAGGAAACGAGGUCUAGAUCUUGAAGAAUGAUCUUCAAGAAUGAGUCCCAUCUGAGGAGAAAGUCAAGGGGGACAUAGGACACGAGCAAAGGAACAUGGUUCAUGUGGUCACAAGCACAGGAAUCCCUGCUAACACGUGGCAAACAGCUUACUUGCUGGGUGCUGCUCAGAGGGCCUUGCAUGCUGAACUCCAUCAAUUCUCACAGCAACAUAGUCUGCCUGUGCUUUAGGGAUCUCUUUUCUUUUCUUUUCUUUUCUUUUCUUUUCUUUUCUUUUCUUUUCUUUUCUUUUCUUUUCUUUUCUUUCUUUCUUUUUUUUUCUUCUUCGAGACAGGGUUUCUCUGUAUAGCCCUGGCUGUCCUGGAACUCACUUUGUAGACCAGGCUGGCCUUGAACUCAGAAAUCCGCCUGCCUCUGCCUCCCAAGUGCUGGGAUCAAAGGCGUGCGCCACCAUGCCCAGCUUGGGGAUCUUCUUCUUAUGGGUGAGGAAAUGCAGGCUCUGGGAGUUCAGGGGAAUAAGGAGCGGUAGGCUAGGGAUGGGAGCUCACACAGGGCAGGCAUUCAUAUGGUCCUGGCCGGGCAGGGGUGGGGGUGGGAGGGCAAGGCAAGAAGGGCUGAAGCCUAUGUGGAAAGAGUUGGAAUGGAGCAAUGGAAGGGAAGAUAUUCAGAUCCCAACUGGCAAGCAAGAGGGAGCCCCUGAGGGUCUGAGAAGGAGAGUGGUAGGAAGGGCAGUGAGUCUUAGCAGAAAGCUCUCACAGCCUGUAACCUCAGGCAAAGGCCUGAUUCCUGGGCUGCCUUGCUAUGCUCCUUAUGUAAGCACUGUCUGACCCUGCCAGGCAAUGCAGAGAGAGUCAGUUGACAUGCCCACCUGUCCUGGUUCUGUGAUGAGCUGGGUGACCCAGGGCAAGUCACCUUACCAGGGAUGAGCCAGAUAAACAAACAGCUGUUCUAGACAGUAUAGACAACAUCUAAAGCAAGUAUAUAGCAAGUAUAGCAAAUCUGUGCUCUUUCUAGAACCUUCCUUAUAAGGGUCUGCUUCAUUCACCAGUUCAAUGAUGAUUCUUACAGCAAGGGCAAUUAGGGGUUAGGGAUCUUAAGACAAGAUUAAGAUGUGGUACCUCCUCGAAACUAGCUGCUUCUCAAAGCCACCUUAAGGGGAGACUGCAGCCAGUUGAAGGCAGAUCAAGGCUUCUUAGAAGUUUCUCUUUUUACCUGUUACCUGUAACUCCAAGCCAAUGAGCAGGCAAACCAUUACCAGGUUCUGAUUAGUACUGCUUGCAGGUCACCCCAUCUCUAGAACAGUAGCAGGCAACUGGACCUGGGUCAGUAUGGCCACCAGGUGGCGGUCUCCAGAACUUACUCAACCUGCAGAGGUUGCUGGGAAAGUGCCCUCUGUUGUCAUGGAGGAGAGCUGCCACUUAACAACUUAAUGUGGUGAGUCUCAUCUUCAAGCAAAACAAAGAGCUUAGGGAAAGCACAUAGGAGUUAGUGUAGGAGGAGGGACGUCUGGGCAAAGGAAAAUGACAUGACAUGACAUGUUGCCUCAUUCAAUGCAACAGAACUUUCUGGAUUUCCUUCCCUGGACUCUCCCCAGCCCCAGGUCUGCAUUUAUGAUUCUCCUGGAACACCUCCUCAUAACAUAUGCCAUGCUCAAUUUACAUCAUAUGCUUGCUUGUAUCUCUUACAACUGGGAUCACAUCCAUUUCCUCUUGGAAACACUGGUGCCGACACAGGAUCUGCCCAGAGAAGGGAUUAAAGUUCUUUGUUGAGUGAAUGAAACUUACUCUAUAGACAAAUUUAAAACAGAUUUGCUUGGACACCAAUGCCCUGGUGAGAAAAUUCGAGACCAUAUAUACCCUCAUCCUUAGCCUUGGGAAUUGCAUGGGAGAGAUGCAGCUCAGGGUUCCCUAAUGUGACCCACUGAAAGAUGGACUGGCAUUGAAUUCACAUCCAACUCUGCCCCAAAGAUGUUUAUCUUACUUUUAUCACACAGAGUAGCAAGGCAGAAAAGAAAGUGAAUCUGGGCUCAGCUGAGUCUGAAACCCAUCGGAGGAAUGCAUAGUGUCUAUCUAUUUUGUGUUUUACUUCACUCCCAUCUCUAAUAAUGGAGAGGCCUGAGUUUUAGAGUCUGACUGUUGGGGUAAUCAGGCUCGGUCUGCUUGUCUAUCAUCUUUACUCUCUUGUGCUGCCGGAACCUCCACCUUCCUGCUGGAACUCUGGUAGGGAGGAAAGGCAGCAUAGCUGCCCAGAGGCCCAACUUCCUUGCAAUCCAGUCCAGCUGAAGCCAGCCCAGGGACAAGCUCAGAGUCCCUCUUGAAGGAAAUGAUUCAGAAACCACGGUGGCCUGGCAGCCACUGUAAUUCAUAGUACAUCAAUAGGGGAAUUAUGUGUAGGGCUGAGAACACCAAAGCGCUCAUUUCUUUCCUUCAUUCCCUCCUCUCUCUCUCUCUCUCUUUCUCUCCCUCUCCCCCCUCUCACUCUCUCCCUCCCUCUGCCUCCCUCUGCCUCCCUCUGCCUCUCUCUCUCUCUCUCUCUCUCUCUCUCUCUCUCUCUCUCUCUCUCUCUCUCUCUCUCCCCCUCCCUCCUCUUCCUCCUCUUCCUCCUCCCCCGCCUCUUCCUCCUGCUUUUGCCUUUGCCUUUCUCCUUUUGGCUGUAAAUCAAUUCCAAGGCAGCCCAGCACAUGCUUCUCAUUAAUAGCUUGGGCACCACCUUGGAAGAGAAAACAAGACAGAGGAAGACUAGGAUAUAAAGAGACCCACCCUACAGAACGUGUGUACUAGUGUGUGUGUGUGUGUGUGUGUGUGUGUGUGUGUGCACCCUCGUGCAUAUGCGUGAUUUUCAUCACAUUAUGUCAACUCCAAUAUCUCCAAUUUCCAGAAGGAAUGGUCAAGGAGAAAGUUUAGAUUUGGGAUAGAAGUUUGAGCAUGCCACUUCAAUUACUUUUGUCUACUGACCGGUGAAGUGAGACCUAAAAGGGGGUGGAAGUGUCUGUCAGAUGUCCAACUCAGGCACUUUGCAUCUGGCUGCAGAGACUGCCAUUUUAGACUUCAAAUCAUCACAUUUUGGACAAAGCGUGAUUUCUUUCCCCAUGAGUUGUAAAAAUAAGACUUUAUGUCUAGUUUUAUACCCACUGCCUGUUAUUUUUUUUUCUUAUUUUCAAGAGAAGGGAGGAUAGUUCUGUAUGAAGUCAUGCAUAGAGGAGGCACCUGCACAGACAAAAUUGCUUUUGUCUCACGUGAUUGGCUGUCUCGGUUGAGUGACAUGGGUGUCUAUUGGCUUCUGAGUACCUCGCUCUGUUUUUCCUUUCUAUUCCUUAUCUCCUGCAUUUCUGUCUCCUACCUGGUGCUCUGUCCUUGGCCCCUUCUCUUCACACAUCUGAGUUCAUGGGUUCAAGAGGUACCAGUCAGUCCAAGGUUUCUACAACUCUUCUGUAGUCUGCUCACCUUCUCUGAGGGACAGAUGUGGACACACCCCUGCACCAGCAGCAUUUUCUUGGGGACCACAAAUGGAAUUUAUCAUUUGCCGUAAGGCUUGCUGAUUACUUGGGUUUGUUGCUAAGCAGCCACACAUUCAGUAUAGUGAGGGUUUGAAACAUCAUAGAAUUGCUGGAAUCUUGAAGAUCUGGAAGGGCCUGAGAUGGCAUAGUGCCAUGACUAAGUUACUUAACUCUCUGAUUUCUUCAUCUGCAAAAUGGAGACAGCAAAAAGAAUCUAUCUCUAAAGGCUCUCAUCAAGAGCAAAUAAGUAGAUAUAACACCAUUAGGAGAGAGCCUGGCACACAGAACAGGCUCAGGUGAUGCUGAGCCUUUUUCAAGAUGCAUCUUGGCACACCUGCUUGCCCCAUACUUUCUCACCAUUUCCCAAAGACAACAGUCAAUUGGCCUCAGGAUAUUCCCCUGGCUUAGGAUGCUCUCCAUACAUCUAGGAACAAAUUCUUACUAAGUGCUGAGGUAGAGGCCAGCUAUAGGUUCCCUUAGAAGGGGCUAGCGGCUCCCUUUUGGUUCUCGGGGAGCAUUAUGUUACUGCCAAGUGGCUGAUAGAACUGCAUCCCAGAUCCCAGUCACCACUUCUCCAGCAUCAGCAUCAAAAUCCACCUCUAUACACUUGCUGAGAAGUCUGUGCUGGCUUGGACCAUGGUGCUUUAUUUUAUCUGCUCAUUCUUAUUGGAAGAGCCCCCAAUCUCUCUCUCCCCCUCCCCUUCCCUGCCCCUCCCCCCAAUUCUGUGCGAGUGUGUGCUCGCACACACACAUAUGGUCUUUGGACAAUCUUGGUUGUCAUUCUUCAGGCACUUCCCACAGUUUAUGUGAGGAAAGGUCUCUCACUGGCCAGGAACUUCUUCAAGUAAGCCCAGCUAGCUGACUAGCUAACUUCUAGGGAUCCACCUAUCUCUACUGCCCCGUCUCACCAUUACUGGCUUACAAAUUUAUACCAUGACACUUGGAUUUGUAUGUGGGAUCUGGGAAUUGAACUCCUGUCAUCUUGCUUCCAAGGCAAGCACUUUGCCAACUGAGGAAUAUUUCUAGUGUGGAGGGCCUUCCUCCUUUGGGGGAACUUUCUCUUCUGAAAAUACUUCCUGGGAGUCCAAGGCUAGGUUACUUGUACCUUCUUAAUAUCUCCAAAAUGUCUUCCAUGAGAUUCUGUGGCAUUCUGUCUUCACUGUUCCACUAGCUGUUCUCUCCAUGGGACUCCAGGAGUUCUCUCACGACAGACACAUUUUAGCCAGUGCUUAGAAAUGACGAGCAUAAGUGGACAGGAGAACUUCAUGUUCCAAGAGCUCUCUCUCGAUAGACUAUGAGCUUCUUGAAUGAAUGAAUCAAAUGAGUGGGGUGGAAACUACCUCAGAAAAGUCUCAGUGGGCUAAGUGUCAGGCAGACUUGGCCUUAUAGUAAUAUUCACUCUACAAUGCGUCAUGAGCACCAUAACUUGUAGUGGGCACUGGCUCAGUAACUGAGCACAAUGAGACUUACGAUCUAGGGUGGAAGGUGAAAUUGACCCUGGGGAUGGGAGGUAGUAGUGAGUCCUGUGGCUGUGAGAAGGCUAGGCUGACUCCAUGAUAGGCUUCACACUGGCAGUUUAGGAGACUAGGCCUAAGAACUGGGCAAGUUCAGGCAAGUCCAGGCAAGUCAGUUACUAGAAAACAAAACAAACCAAAACAACAACAAAAACCCACCACCACCACAACAACAAAACACAACAACAACAAAAUCAACCCCAUUCCCCAGAUCUCUCAGCAACAGUUUACAGAUACCAGGCCCCAUAAUGGCUCUGGAAUGCCUAGAGAUAGAGUAAGUUAAAGUCCACCUACCCUGGUGUACUUUAAAUCAGGCCUGCGAGUUCACUUGGUUGUUUCUCUAUCUUGGUCACGGGAGACCCCAGCAUGCUGAACUACUGUAGAAGAAAACUAUUUUGAAUCUGGGGUAUCAUUCUUCAUCGAAUCACAGACCCUCCCAGUUGUGUCUACAGAGGGACAUUGGCAGCAGGGCUAGGGAGUAGCCCACGCCACUGUGCAGGGUUUCUGUGCUCUGAUGGCCCUAGGCUUGACUGAAUGCUUUGUUGUUGAAAAUUCUUAAAUAUGCUUACUUGUGUAUUCUGAGGACUGAUGGUUCAGUGGAUCAUGCAUGCAGGCAGAGGAGACAUGAACAAGAUGCGUGUCUGACGCUUAAGCAUAGAAGUCCAUUGGACUGGCAUUGUGGUGUGUGGGAGACUAGGCUGACCUCAAGCAAGUCCUAGGCAAGUGGGCUAGGCUACAGCUAAGGAAGUAGGAGUGCUGACAGCAGUGAGAGUCAUGCUGUCUGCUAGAACAAACUCGCUUCAGAUGCAAGAACAGCGCCUGAAGAAAAACAAAGGACCCAAAAGCCCACUCAUCAUUCUUUCUAGCUAACACAGUGUGUGAACAUAAAAGCAGAGAUUGUUGUUAAGAUGGAUGGUCCAAAAGAAGUGGAAUUAAUACAGCUGACUCAGUUUUGUGAUGAUAUUUCUUCAGUUCUGAUGCCUUCUGCCAGAAACCCCAGCCUGGGAGUUGCAAGUAGGAAUCCACACGGAGUACACUGUAGCUGUCUUCAGACAUAUACCAGAAAUGUGCAUCGGAUCCCAUUACAGAUGGUUGUGAGCCACCAUGUGGUUGCUGGGAGUUGAACUCAGGACCUCUGGAAGAGCAGUCAGUACUCAGAACUGAUGAACCAUCUCUUCAGCCCCCUGCCUCCACAUCUCAAGUGCUGGGAUGAUAGGAAUGUGCCACUGAGUUUGGUUUUAUGUGAUGCUGGAGCUUGAACUCAGGGCUUUUUGCAUUCAAGGCAACUUCUUUAGCAACAGAACCACCUCUUCAGACCUUCCUAUACUUCUUCAACAGUGUGUCUCAUGUCUCUUGUCUCAGUCUGUUUCUCUGCUAUGCACACUGAUCGUGCCACGAGACUCCACUGCCUCCACCUCCCGAGUGCUGGGAUGAUAGGCUUGCCCCACUGGAUGCAGUAAUUUCCAGCUUUCCCAUUUCUACGAUGUUUCCCUAGCAUAUCCUCACCAGCCCCAUGAGAAUGCAACUUCCAGAAGUUGUGGCUGACACCCGUACCAUUGGAUUCAGUAAAGGGCUAAGCUUACAACUUUUUUUGUGUCUUCUUAGACCUCCUGUGUCUAAGAACCCCCGAUUCAAGGGCUCACGCUGGUAUUCACCACAUUCAGUACAGCCAUAGAGCAUAGAGACAUUUCACAAAAUUGGCUGUCAUAGAUGUCAAUGAACCAGAAGACACUUGAGUCCUGAUGUCUUCACGGAGCGGUGCCAUCAGGCUACCUCCAGCUGGUAUCACUGCUUUGGGUCGAUUUUACUAAUUAAUAAACAUCAUCUUGGUUUCUCAGAAGAA